UACGGGGGGAGCAAGCGUUGUUCGGAUUUACUGGGCGUAAAGGGCGCGUAGGCGGCGCGACAAGUCACUUGUGAAAUCUCCGGGCUUAACUCGGAACGGUCAAGUGAUACUGUCGUGCUAGAGUACAGAAGGGGCAACUGGAAUUCUCGGUGUAGCGGUGAAAUGCGUAGAUAUCGAGAGGAACACCUGCGGCGAAGGCGGGUUGCUGGGCUGAUACUGACGCUGAGGCGCGAAAGCCAGGGGAGCGAACGGG
Molecule: ribosomal RNA, 253 nt
Filed under: uncultured bacterium
Lineage: Bacteria
Description: partial 16S ribosomal RNA
Rfam family: Bacterial small subunit ribosomal RNA
Source: RNAcentral